GUGGAUUCAAGAAAAAGCUCUCGACCUCGUUGAGUUCACCGGUUCUGUUACCCAAGCGAUUCCCGGUCCGAGAGUGGGUCCCACUUCGUUGCCGUGGAUUCUCGCCGUUCCUCUUGGUUAUGCUGGUCUCACUUUCGUUAUCGCGUUUGUUAAAACCGUUAGGAAAUUCAGUUCUCCCAAAGCACAACGCAGGAAAUUGGUUGGUAAAAAUGCGUUGUUGUGUAAGUCUGUUGAUGAUUUGUUACAAAGAGGACGAGAUGAAGUUAAGGUUGAUGAUCUCAAAGGAAUCGAAAAUAAGGUUUUGUCUUGGAAGAAAUUUUGCGCAAAUACAUCCGAUAUGCUCUGAACGAGAAACC
This is a long non-coding RNA of Lathyrus oleraceus (garden pea), 356 nucleotides long. RefSeq lists it as uncharacterized. The transcript is spliced from 3 exons. The record is from RefSeq and is a predicted model, not a curated record. Lineage: Eukaryota; Viridiplantae; Streptophyta; Magnoliopsida; Fabales; Fabaceae.